This 382-nucleotide ribosomal RNA is filed under the name uncultured bacterium. Its description in RNAcentral is "bacterial SSU rRNA". It matches the Rfam family "Bacterial small subunit ribosomal RNA", at positions 28 to 410 of the family's 1533-position model. The record is from RNAcentral.
GACGAACGCUGGCGGCGUGCUUAACACAUGCAAGUCGAGCGGUAAGGCCCUUUCGGGGUACGACGAGCGGCGAACGGGUGAGUAACACGUGGGUGACCUGCCCUCAGCUCUGGGAUAAGCCUGGGAAACCGGGUCUAAUACUGGAUAUGACUCCAUGACGCAUGUUGGUGGGGUGGAAAGCCUUGUGCGGCUGAGGAUGGGCCCGCGGCCUAUCAGCUUGUUGGUGGGGUGANGGCCUACCAAGGCGACGACGGGUAGCCGGCCUGAGAGGGCGACCGGCCACACUGGGACUGAGACACGGCCCAGACUCCUACAGGAGGCAGCAGUGGGGAAUCUUGCGCAAUGGGCGAAAGCCUGACGCAGCGACGCCGCGUGAGGGAUG